This is a long non-coding RNA of Maniola jurtina (meadow brown), 265 nucleotides long. RefSeq lists it as uncharacterized. Lineage: Eukaryota; Metazoa; Arthropoda; Insecta; Lepidoptera; Nymphalidae. The record is from RefSeq and is a predicted model, not a curated record. The transcript has 3 exons.
UACAGCCUCGCUAGUGUCCCUAGAUUGUCAGCCCGGUUGCAUUCUGCAUCCUCUAUUUACUGUAUCCGGGGCUGCCGUAUAAGCCAGACGUGCAUAAUUUUGAGUGUGUUUCGACGUUUCAAGUUACUCGUGGCCGGGAAAAAUGGCGGGUGAAAUGAGCUUUGGUAAAAUGCACUUUACCUUGAACAAUGGAGUCAAUAUGCCGGCUGUCGGUUUGGGAACUUUGGGUAUGAGAAAUUAUCCUGUUUUGUAUGAUACAAUAGAU